CUCUUUGAGGUGGUGACCAUAGACCUGCAUUAUAUGACUGACAGACAAGAACGGUUUGACCUAAAAAUAUCAAAAUGGAAAAUACUGUGGAAACAAAGACACCUACAUCUUGGAUGCCCUUGAGGAAACACCGGACCUACUGGACCCUUUCUGGUUGGUUGUAGGCUAUAGAGGCACCUGUCAGAACACAUGGAGAGGAAGUUUGCAGUGGUGCGGUGGAGUGAAGGGGAGGAUUUUGGGAAGCUCAGUGACAUAAAAACUGAUGCCAUAAGGGGGUAUGAUGAUUCCAAGAUGGACCAGGAUGGGAAUCCCUUUGCCACCUACUCAGCCGUAAUUGAAUGGCGCCAUGGGAGGAAACAACGAGGAGGCUGGCCUCACUACAGAGGCACUGUCAUUUUUGUUAGUGCUACUCGUUUUGAGACAAUCCGUAAACUGAACUCACUGCUGAAGGAAGAAGAACCUACAGAGCUGACAAAGAGGGCCUCAGUGGCCCCCCAAAAAUAUGGGGACUAUUCAGAUUGCUCAACUGAUAUUGAAACUCAGUCUCAGCAAGCAAAGAAGUCAAAGGCUCCCAGGAGGAUAGACCCUGCAGAAGAGUUUCUUAGGCUAUACGGUCAAUCACAGCCUUCUUCAGAUAAUCACAACAGUCCGACUCAGACUGUGGUUGAAUUAAAGCAGGAGAUCAAGGACCUGAAAGAAGAGAACGCGAAGUUGAAGGAGAUUGUUCUUCAAGAUGUGCCAGGACUCCUACUGAGCUUGAGGAAUAUAAUAGAUUCGGCUGCACCUCCUAAGAGAUCCAGGGUGGAGCCUACCAAAGCAUUACCGGCCCUUCCAGGGUCUCCGCAGUCCAGGUCCAGUUCUCCAUGUGCCACUUCGCUGUCCCUCCCCAGAUCUACGCUGUCCAGUUCCACAUCUGUGUCUCCAUCCCUGACUGCCUCCCAUUCUUCUAAGGUUGAGAUCCAUCCUGGGACCGGAGUCAUGGUUGAGAAACUGGCGUGGGCCUAUGCCAUCAAUGCCAAUUCGGCAACAGUCUUUGUGAGACAUCUGCUCACCGCAGUCUUUCCAGUGGAAAUACUGCUGGUGCAACUCUUGAGAAGUGGCCUGGGACCCAGCUUUCCAGCAGUGGAAGUACGAUCAAUGCCAAGAUUACAGAACUCCGGUCAAAAAGUAAAAAUGCUGAAAUAAAGAGUCCUCAUCUGCCUGCACUUGAGUCUUCGCCUCUUACGAUCCGUGACAGUACAAACGAGCCCUUUGAAGAUUCAGCGGCGAUGCAGAUUUUCUUAUACCCAGCUCCCGGACGACUGAGGAUCCAG
Cyprinus carpio carpio is the source of this 1313-nucleotide long non-coding RNA. The record is from Ensembl. NCBI's taxonomy places the organism in Eukaryota, Metazoa, Chordata, Actinopteri, Cypriniformes, Cyprinidae.